RNAcentral lists this long non-coding RNA (460 nucleotides) under Homo sapiens (human). RNAcentral's name for it is "long non-coding RNA NONHSAT076042.2". Lineage: Eukaryota; Metazoa; Chordata; Mammalia; Primates; Hominidae. The record is from RNAcentral.
GUGAACGUGGCAGUCCUGGUGGACCUGUGCUGCUGGCUUCCCUGGUGCUCGUGGUCUUCCUGGUCCUCCUGGUAGUAAUGUAACCCAGGACCCCCAGGUCCCAGCGGUUCUCCAGGCAAGGAUGGGCCCCCAGGUCCUGCGGGUAACACUGGUGCUCCUGGCAGCCCUGGAGUGUCUGGACCAAAAGGUGAUGCUGGCCAACCAGGAGAGAAGGGAUCGCCUGGUGCCCAGGGCCCACCAGAGCUCCAGGCCCACUUGGGAUUGCUGGGAUCACUGGAGCACGGGGUCUUGCAGGACCACCAGGCAUGCCAGGUCCUAGGGGAAGCCCUGGCCCUCAGGGUGUCAAGGUGAAAGUGGGAAACCAGGAGCUAACGGUCUCAGUGGAGAACGUGGUCCCCCUGGACCCCAGGGUCUUCCUGGUCUGGCUGGUACAGCUGGUGAACCUGGAAGAGAUGUGAGU